AUCAGGAUCUACACACGAGGAGCAGAGAGAGGAGUGUAGGAGUCAUACCUGUGAUGCACCGGUCUCGGACUCCGUCGUCAGGGCGAUCUUGGGCUCCGUCGUCGCGGCGAGAUCCGUUUGUCGGUCGGGGGCCUGCUGGGUUCAGCAGGAGCCCGACUUUUCUUCUACUUCUCCUUCUGGCCUGUGCCCUCGGUCAGACGUCGGUCGGAAGCUCCUUCGUCCGUGCGCAUGUAUUUGUACGCACGCUCCAGCAAUUCGGCAUAC
RNAcentral lists this long non-coding RNA (264 nucleotides) under Elaeis guineensis (African oil palm). RNAcentral's name for it is "long non-coding RNA (EGUI_LNC021082)". Lineage: Eukaryota; Viridiplantae; Streptophyta; Magnoliopsida; Arecales; Arecaceae. The record is from RNAcentral.